UACGAAGUGGGCUAGCGUUGCUCGGAAUCACUGGGCGUAAAGCGCACGUAGGCGGCUUACUAAGUCAGGGGUGAAAUCCUGGAGCUCAACUCCAGAACUGCCUUUGAUACUGAUAGUCUUGAGUAUGGGAGAGGUGAGUGGAACUGCGAGUGUAGAGGUGAAAUUCGUAGAUAUUCGCAAGAACACCAGUGGCGAAGGCGGCUCACUGGCCCAUUACUGACGCUGAGGCACGAAAGCGUGGGGAGCAAACAGG
Molecule: ribosomal RNA, 253 nt
Filed under: uncultured bacterium
Lineage: Bacteria
Description: partial 16S ribosomal RNA
Rfam family: Bacterial small subunit ribosomal RNA
Source: RNAcentral